GAUGAGCGCUGGCGGUAUGCCUAACACAUGCAAGUCGUACGCCUCACUUCGGUGAGGAGUGGCGGACGGGUGAGUAACACGUUAGUACCUGCCCCAAAGUGGGGAAUAACUGCCCGAAAGGGUAGCUAAUACCCCAUAGUCUCCGGUUUAUCCGGAGUAAAGAUUUAUCGCUUUGGGAGGGCUUGCGUUUGAUUAGCUAGUUGGUGAGGGUAAUGGCCCACCAAGGCGACGAUCAAUAGCUGGAUCGAGAGGUUGACCAGCCACACUGGGACUGAGAUACGGCCCAGACUCCUACGGGAGGCAGCAGUGAGGAAUCUUCCACAAUGGGCGAAAGCCUGAUGGAGCAAUACCGCGUGCAGGAUGAAGCUUUUCGGAGUGUAAACUGCUUUUCUGAAGGAAGAUUAUGACGGUACUUCAGGAAUAAGGAUCGGCUAACUACGUG
RNAcentral lists this ribosomal RNA (442 nucleotides) under uncultured bacterium. Its description in RNAcentral is "bacterial SSU rRNA". It matches the Rfam family "Bacterial small subunit ribosomal RNA", at positions 28 to 507 of the family's 1533-position model. The record is from RNAcentral.